CCCUUGCCCUCUGCCCUAACCUCUUCCCCUCCAUCUCAGUCCCUUACCGCUCCCCCUUCAUCUCUGCCCUAACACCCGCCCCUCCCCCCCCUUUCUUAACCCUCCCAUAUGUCUGGUAAGAGUUGAUCUUUCCCUCCUAUCUGCGUAGCCAAAUCGGCCCUUCUGAGUUGAUCUUCCCCUCCUGUCUAAAUCUCGAGCCCUCUCUCCCUAUCUCACUUUCGUAGACCUCUCUCCCUAACUUGUUUAUUUUUUCUCUGUGGCUGAUCACUUUUCUAACAAUCUCUUUAUAUAUAUAUAUAUAUAUCUUGAAGUUAAACUCCACUUGGAGAAGUAUUUAUCGAGAAAAAUAGACCAACGAAGUGUUGUUUGAUUUCAUUGUCAUAAUCUCCAAUCUCUAAAUGGCCUCAUAAUACUCUCCAUUUCUCCUUCUCUCCACUUCACGAGGGUAGCUUUUUGCACCUUUAUCUGGCUUCUUCUGGAUUACGGACAUCACACUACAACCUAAUAGCAGAAGCUUUUUGCAGUUAAUCCAAUCAAUUUGAUCCAAACUAACGAGAAGAAAACGAAUUUUACUGACAUUGCUUCUAUUUUGUUAAGAAGCCAUUGGCUAUAUCAGAUUUUUUUCGGGGUCAAAUUGAGGCCUCAGCUCCCUUUACUUUGAUAACACAUCAAACAACCUGCUUAACCAGCAGUCUGUAAGUACCCAUGUUUCUUGAAGCAUAAUCUCUAGAUCUAUAAAUGAUGA
Long non-coding RNA from Carya illinoinensis, 745 nucleotides. RefSeq lists it as uncharacterized. The transcript has 3 exons. NCBI's taxonomy places the organism in Eukaryota, Viridiplantae, Streptophyta, Magnoliopsida, Fagales, Juglandaceae. The record is from RefSeq and is a predicted model, not a curated record.